Molecule: unclassified non-coding RNA, 2053 nt
Filed under: Hevea brasiliensis (rubber tree)
Lineage: Eukaryota; Viridiplantae; Streptophyta; Magnoliopsida; Malpighiales; Euphorbiaceae
Source: RNAcentral
GUUAAAACUUAAAUUCAAUGUAGGCUGUCCAUUAACAUCAUUUGGGCCUCUGAUUUUGCUCACAGGCUUAGCUAUCAAGCAGAUGCGGGUUUAUUCAACUACUUUUUGAUGGACUCGGACCCUCUUUUAAGGAGGCUCAGUUAUUUAAAACGACGCACCGUUGUGUUUAUUGGGGGCGAACCAAGCAAAGCUUUAUUUCUAUUGACGAAAAUACCCUUUCUACUUCCAAGUCAAAGGCUUCACAUCACUGCGAGUGCCGAGCAAAAGCUUUAACCAAAUCACUGAGGGAUGAGGCUGAGAAAAAAACCUAUGCUCAAUUAUCGAAUAAAUCCCCAAAGAAAAACCUAAUUUUUUGCAGACCCAAUUAGUUUCACAAAUUAUGAAUGCCCUCAUAGAAUAUUUAAAGUAGAAUAUCAUAUUAUCAAGCAAAAUGCAUGGAUGAACCAACAGUGAUGCCAAGCCCACCAAAUCUUCUGGCGUGGCGUAGCCUAGCAUACUAGGAAAGUUACUGAACUCCUCAUAUUCGUAAUCCUUCCAUUGCACCCUGUUUUAAUUAAACCUUUACAUAGCAAAUACACUUGGAACACAGAAUCAUGGAAAGCCACAAGCUCCAUCAUUUUCAUAAUUACUUCAAACCUAGCAGGCUAACAGUACUCAUUAAACUACCAAUGAAGAAAGUAUAAUCUCACUCUCAAAAGAAGUUAAGACUAGAAAAUAAAAAUUUUUCCAAGGAACGUUGGUUUUCAAUAUGGUUUUGGCAGUUCUUUAUUUCUCUGAUAUUUUUUUGAAUCCCUACAUCAUUGACUUCAAACGUUCUCGGAAAACUUUCAUCAUUCCUGCAAAGGUAACUAUUCCUACCAAAGUGCCAUCCUCUUCAACAACCCACACAUUACUCACACGAUGAGAAAGUGCCUGAAUCAUUACUGCCACCAAGGAGCUCCAUGGAAAGCACACAAUUGCAUCAGUAUUUCUCACCACUCUUGAUGAACGCCUACCUAACCUCCCACUCCUACCCAGCCCAAACUCCUCGUCAGAUGAGGAUGCCGAAAUUUCUGAUUCUUCUUCCAGCAACUCCAGAGCCUCACCUAAAUUCCUCUCUUCCAGUCUUUCCUUAACCAACCGUAUCAGAUCCUCUGGUGGGUCACCACAGUCUAUGUAAGCCAUAAAAUCCCCAGUAGAGAGAGUAGCAAUUGCAGCAGCCACUGACUCGUUGCAAGAGUUCAGUACGUAUGGCGAGAUCUCACCAAUCAACUUGCCGUCUACGUCAAUAAUGGCAACGGAUGUUUGCUUGACAAGGGAUUGAGAGAUUAAGGGUAAUGAAGAGGAGGCAGGCUCAUCAUAGCAGACAGCCAAGAUCGAUUUGGUGUCUAUGAUGUUGAGAGACUCAAGAGUGUGGUUAGGAAUGGGGCAGAAGAGACCAAUGCAGUUAAGAAGGUAGCGAAUUAUGUCUUCUUGGGUAAGCCAGCAGUACUGCACACGAUUGUCAUGGAGGGUGGAGUUUGAGGAUGGUUUGUGUGUCAGCUUUUUUCUUGAGAAGGGGCUGUGAAUUGGGAUCACAAGGUUCUGUGCACCUUCAAGGAUGAGAUCUAUAGCCUCCACCAAGCUUGCGUUCUGCUCCAAGUGCCUCACAAGGCCAGGAACCUUGGGAAGGAUAACAGAGACAGGUUCCUGAAGAGCACUCCCUGGAUUUUUCAGAUUGUCUUCUUCACACAAGAAGCAAAUGACAUCCACCAUGCAAACUUUACCAAUACAACGGCAUUCAUUUACAUCAGAAACCUUAGAUCUUGAAGCGUUACAGUGGUGAUCACAACUCCAGACACUCAAAUACGGGUCACCGAAUCUCCUGAGAGAAGACAGCGCAUCACCGACGGUUGCAGAGACGGAGAGAGACCUAAGCGCAGGCUUUCCAAGGCAUAGGUCAGAUACCUCGCGGGCCAGUAAACUCACUGCCAUGCACAGAAAGAUGGAGGUGUAGAGGAGAGGAGAGGAGAGGACAGGCGAGUUUGCAAUUGGUGGGAGUGAAACAGGAGUAGGUGGAGGUGGAGAAUUCUGG